Molecule: ribosomal RNA, 461 nt
Filed under: uncultured bacterium
Lineage: Bacteria
Description: bacterial SSU rRNA
Rfam family: Bacterial small subunit ribosomal RNA
Source: RNAcentral
CAGGCCUAACACAUGCAAGUCGAGCGGAGAUGAGGUGCUUGCACCUUAUCUUAGCGGCGGACGGGUGAGUAAUGCUUAGGAAUCUGCCAUUUAGUGGGGGACAACAUUCCGAAAGGAAUGCUAAUACCGCAUACGUCCUACGGGAGAAAGCAGGGGAUCUUCGGACCUUGCGCUAAAUGAUGAGCCUAAGUCGGAUUAGCUAGUUGGUGGGGUAAAGGCCUACCAAGGCGACGAUCCUUAGCUGGUCUGAGAGGAUGAUCAGCCACACUGGGACUGAGACACGGCCCAGACUCCUACGGGAGGCAGCAGUGGGGAAUAUUGGACAAUGGGCGAAAGCCUGAUCCAGCAAUGCCGCGUGAGUGAUGAAGGCCUUAGGGUUGUAAAGCUCUUUUACCCGGGAUGAUAAUGACAGUACCGGGAGAAUAAGCUCCGGCUAACUCCGUGCCAGCAGCCGCGGUAAU